GGGACACGUGGUAUCCUGUCUGAAUAUGGGGGGACCAUCCUCCAAGGCUAAAUACUCCUGACUGACCGAUAGUGAACCAGUACCGUGAGGGAAAGGCGAAAAGAACCCCGGCGAGGGGAGUGAAAAAGAACCUGAAACCGUGUACGUACAAGCAGUGGGAGCACGCUUAGGCGUGUGACUGCGUACCUUUUGUAUAAUGGGUCAGCGACUUAUAUUCUGUAGCAAGGUUAACCGAAUAGGGGAGCCGAAGGGAAACCGAGUCUUAACUGGGCGUUAAGUUGCAGGGUAUAGACCCGAAACCCGGUGAUCUAGCCAUGGGCAGGUUGAAGGUUGGGUAACACUAACUGGAGGACCGAACCGACUAAUGUUGAAAAAUUAGCGGAUGACUUGUGGCUGGGGGUGAAAGGCCAAUCAAACCGGGAGAUAGCUGGUUCUCCCCGAAAGCUAUUUAGGUAGCGCCUCGUGAAUUCAUCUCCGGGGGUAGAGCACUGUUUCGGCAAGGGGGUCAUCCCGACUUACCAACCCGAUGCAAACUGCGAAUACCGGAGAAUGUUAUCACGGGAGACACACGGCGGGUGCUAACGUCCGUCGUGAAGAGGGAAACAACCCAGACCGCCAGCUAAGGUCCCAAAGUCAUGGUUAAGUGGGAAACGAUGUGGGAAGGCCCAGACAGCCAGGAUGUUGGCUUAGAAGCAGCCAUCAUUUAAAGAAAGCGUAAUAGCUCACUGGUCGAGUCGGCCUGCGCGGAAGAUGUAACGGGGCUAAACCAUGCACCGAAGCUGCGGCAGCGACGCUUAUGCGUUGUUGGGUAGGGGAGCGUUCUGUAAGCCUGCGAAGGUGUGCUGUGAGGCAUGCUGGAGGUAUCAGAAGUGCGAAUGCUGACAUAAGUAACGAUAAAGCGGGUGAAAAGCCCGCUCGCCGGAAGACCAAGGGUUCCUGUCCAACGUUAAUCGGGGCAGGGUGAGUCGACCCCUAAGGCGAGGCCGAAAGGCGUAGUCGAUGGGAAACAGGUUAAUAUUCCUGUACUUGGUGUUACUGCGAAGGGGGGACGGAGAAGGCUAUGUUGGCCGGGCGACGGUUGUCCCGGUUUAAGCGUGUAGGCUGGUUUUCCAGGCAAAUCCGGAAAAUCAAGGCUGAGGCGUGAUGACGAGGCACUACGGUGCUGAAGCAACAAAUGCCCUGCUUCCAGGAAAAGCCUCUAAGCAUCAGGUAACAUCAAAUCGUACCCCAAACCGACACAGGUGGUCAGGUAGAGAAUACCAAGGCGCUUGAGAGAACUCGGGUGAAGGAACUAGGCAAAAUGGUGCCGUAACUUCGGGAGAAGGCACGCUGAUAUGUAGGUGAAGUCCCUCGCGGAUGGAGCUGAAAUCAGUCGAAGAUACCAGCUGGCUGCAACUGUUUAUUAAAAACACAGCACUGUGCAAACACGAAAGUGGACGUAUACGGUGUGACGCCUGCCCGGUGCCGGAAGGUUAAUUGAUGGGGUCAGCGCAAGCGAAGCUCUUGAUCGAAGCCCCGGUAAACGGCGGCCGUAACUAUAACGGUCCUAAGGUAGCGAAAUUCCUUGUCGGGUAAGUUCCGACCUGCACGAAUGGCGUAAUGAUGGCCAGGCUGUCUCCACCCGAGACUCAGUGAAAUUGAACUCGCUGUGAAGAUGCAGUGUACCCGCGGCAAGACGGAAAGACCCCGUGAACCUUUACUAUAGCUUGACACUGAACAUUGAGCCUUGAUGUGUAGGAUAGGUGGGAGGCUUUGAAGUGUGGACGCCAGUCUGCAUGGAGCCGACCUUGAAAUACCACCCUUUAAUGUUUGAUGUUCUAACGUUGACCCGUAAUCCGGGUUGCGGACAGUGUCUGGUGGGUAGUUUGACUGGGGCGGUCUCCUCCUAAAGAGUAACGGAGGAGCACGAAGGUUGGCUAAUCCUGGUCGGACAUCAGGAGGUUAGUGCAAUGGCAUAAGCCAGCUUGACUGCGAGCGUGACGGCGCGAGCAGGUGCGAAAGCAGGUCAUAGUGAUCCGGUGGUUCUGAAUGGAAGGGCCAUCGCUCAACGGAUAAAAGGUACUCCGGGGAUAACAGGCUGAUACCGCCCAAGAGUUCAUAUCGACGGCGGUGUUUGGCACCUCGAUGUCGGCUCAUCACAUCCUGGGGCUGAAGUAGGUCCCAAGGGUAUGGCUGUUCGCCAUUUAAAGUGGUACGCGAGCUGGGUUUAGAACGUCGUGAGACAGUUCGGUCCCUAUCUGCCGUGGGCGCUGGAGAACUGAGGGGGGCUGCUCCUAGUACGAGAGGACCGGAGUGGACGCAUCACUGGUGUUCGGGUUGUCAUGCCAAUGGCACUGCCCGGUAGCUAAAUGCGGAAGAGAUAAGUGCUGAAAGCAUCUAAGCACGAAACUUGCC
RNAcentral lists this ribosomal RNA (2394 nucleotides) under Escherichia coli. RNAcentral describes it as "partial 23S ribosomal RNA". It matches the Rfam family "Bacterial large subunit ribosomal RNA", at positions 419 to 2798 of the family's 2925-position model. Lineage: Bacteria; Pseudomonadati; Pseudomonadota; Gammaproteobacteria; Enterobacterales; Enterobacteriaceae. The record is from RNAcentral.